Molecule: ribosomal RNA, 551 nt
Filed under: uncultured marine eukaryote
Lineage: Eukaryota
Description: SSU rRNA
Rfam family: Eukaryotic small subunit ribosomal RNA
Source: RNAcentral
AAAACGCUCGUAGUCGGAUUUCGGGGCGGGGCGGCCGGUCUGCCGAUGGGUACGCACUGGUCGCCGCGCUCUUCUUGCCGGAGGCGCGGCCUACUCUUCACUGAGCGGGCCGUGAACUCAGCACGUUUACUUUGAAAAAAUCAGAGUGUUUCAAGCAGGCAGCUCGCUCUUGCAUGGAUUAGCAUGGGAUAAUAAAAUAGGACUUUGGUGCUAUUUUGUUGGUUUCGAACACCAGAGUAAUGAUUAACAGGAACAGUCAGUGGCACUCGUAUUCCGCCGAGAGAGGUGAAAUUCUUUGACCAGCGGAAGACGAACAACUGCGAAAGCAUUUGCCAGGGAUGUUUUCACUGAUCAAGAACGAAAGUUAGGGGAUCGAAGACGAUCAGAUACCGUCGUAGUCUUAACCAUAAACCAUGCCGACUAGGGAUUGGAGGGUGUUCCUUUUGAGACCCCAUCAGCACCUUUCGGGAAACUAAAGUCUUUGGGUUCCGGGGGGAGUAUGGUCGCAAGGCUGAAACUUAAAGGAAUUGACGGAAGGGCACCACAAGGGG